GAGUAUCGGUUGUGUUUCAGCAGGACAGAGGAUCACGUCGCUCAGACCACUGGACGCACGCGAAUUGCUGCCAUUAUCGCUAGACUAUCCCCAGCACCGGCCAGAGUCAUUCUGGGACAGCUGACCUCUGGGCCUCCGGAGAUGGCUUAGGAGCCUGGGCGCAGCCUCCUGCUCGGAGCAGCGAUAUUCCUGGCCGCACAUGAAAGGGAAGAUUAUAACAGCCCAUUUUCUCCAGGCAGCUUAUCCCGAUUAAGUGGAAUCAGGCAGAAAUCUCCACCCGCAAGUCCUUUCUUCUCAUCCUGCCCCACCGGCCGCCUCGCCCUGAUGAGGACAUGCUUGUUUCUCGGUGUUGCAGAAGUGAAAGAGAAAACUCCGGUUUUCACUGUAUACCUGUUGGUACCUUUCGAAUCCCGUGCCACAGCUCUGCACUGCCUACCCCGCAAGGCGGACAAAGAGAACAGGCUGCUCGAGAAGGUGACUUAGGGCCGCAGGCACACAUCGGCAGGUAACCGAGCACUCAGCAGUGCUCCCGGCUCUGCCUCUGCCCAGGCUGGGGGGGGUGUUGUACUCGCAGCCCCCACUGUGGCCGCACCGCGCACACUCUGGUCCCUGCCUUGCCUGGGGCGCCCACUCCUUACAGCCUUGGCUCAGCAGUGCUCCUGGAGCUACCCUUCCCUCCCCGCAGAGACUCCCUCCUCCUGCCUCCCCCAGCAUGGGGUCCGUGCCUCUUCCUCCCUCCCCGCCUCCUCCGCAGAGCACAGGGCCCAGCACAUCUUCCUGCUGGGGCGAAAGAACGCGGGGUCCCUGGAGGGCCCCCAGCCCCUUGUCAGUUUCACCGUCUGAGAUGUGUCCAGGAAGCCCAGUUACCGGCACCGGGAAGGGGUUGGCAGGUGCUGCGAUCCGGAUCCCAUGAGGGUGCUGCUCCGGGACUGGCGGGAGUGUGGGGGAGAGAAAGGAAUGCUCCUUAGGACGCCCUGCGGUUUGGGGGCAGGGGCGGGGAGCUGCACCCCGCCUUUCUGGAAGCCGCAGAGGGGCCCUGUGCAAAGGCGAAGAUGCUACAUGAGUCAGCUCGGUUCCGGGCAGGAGCUGGAGCCCAUUGACCUGGACUUUCAUCUCUUUUCUGGCAUUUCGGGGAACAAACAAGGGGUUAUUACAGUCACAUCUGACGCUUUGCCUCGCCUUACAGAGAACGGCGCGGCCGAGUUGCUCCCACAGCCUCUCCUUGUGGGUCCCCGGAGGCCGAAGACCCAAGGGCACGCCGGGGUGGGAGGAGGACCUCAUUGCGAGACCCCCAUGGCUCCCUCCCGGUCCCUGUUUCCUGAGCGGUGGGACGGGCACCUGGGACGGAGAUAA
This 1353-nucleotide long non-coding RNA is filed under the name Microcebus murinus (gray mouse lemur). Its description in RNAcentral is "lncRNA (ENSMICG00000048837.1)". The record is from RNAcentral. Lineage: Eukaryota; Metazoa; Chordata; Mammalia; Primates; Cheirogaleidae.